GUUGGUUUUACCUGAAGCCGGUGCGCUAACCGCAAGGAGGCAGCCGACCACGGUAGGGUCAGCGACUGGGGUGAAGUCGUAACAAGGUAGCCGUAGGUGAACCUGCAGAAGGAUCA
This 116-nucleotide ribosomal RNA is filed under the name uncultured eukaryote. Its description in RNAcentral is "partial small subunit ribosomal RNA". It matches the Rfam family "Bacterial small subunit ribosomal RNA", at positions 1410 to 1525 of the family's 1533-position model. The record is from RNAcentral.